GGGCCCGUAGCUCAGACGGUAGAGCAGCAGACUUUUAAUCUGUUGGUCGUGGGUUCGAUUCCCGCCGGGCUCA
Molecule: transfer RNA, 73 nt
Filed under: Candidatus Latescibacteria bacterium ADurb.Bin168
Lineage: Bacteria; Pseudomonadati; Candidatus Latescibacterota
Also listed under: 1 other name
Description: tRNA-Lys
Rfam family: tRNA
About the family: Transfer RNA (tRNA) molecules are approximately 80 nucleotides in length.
Source: RNAcentral